This 984-nucleotide ribosomal RNA is filed under the name Triticum aestivum (bread wheat). RNAcentral describes it as "partial small subunit ribosomal RNA". The record is from RNAcentral. Lineage: Eukaryota; Viridiplantae; Streptophyta; Magnoliopsida; Poales; Poaceae.
ACUGACCUGCAGGAACACGAGGAACAUCUUCGCCUCACUCUGCAACUCCUCCGCGAGCAUCAACUAUUCGCCAAGGCCAACAAGUGUUCGUUCGCACAAACAAGCAUUGAAUACCUCGGGCAUGUGAUCUCACAAGAGGGAGUUGCUACGGACAAUAGCAAGACCAGCGCCAUGCAGUCCUGGCCCGUGCCCACCACGCCCACGGAGCUGCGCGGCUUCUUGGGGCUGACAGGCUACUACCGUAAAUUCGUCCCCCAUUACGGCAUCAUCGCCAAGCCCCUGACGCAACUGUUGACGAAGAAAGGGUUUCUCUGGGACGACAAAGCGCAGCAAGCAUUUGACAUGCUCAAGCGCGCCAUGGUGAGCACGCCAGUGUUGGCGCUGCCCAAUUUCAAUCGCCCGUUCGCCAUCAAAACGGAUGCGUGCGAUACCGGCGUGGGCGCGGUGCUUAUGCAAGAUGGCCAUCCAGUGGCCUACCUCAGCAAGGCUCUGGGAGUACGCAAUCAGAAGCUAUCCACAUAUGAGAAGGAAUUUCUCGCCGUCAUGAUGGCCAUCGACAAAUGGCGGCCGUACCUGCAUCGUGCUCCAUUUGAGAUCGUCACUGACCACAAGAGUCUUUGUGCACUUGACGAUCAACAACUGGUAACCGAUCUCCAGCGCAAAGCCAUGUCUAAGAUGGUGGGGCUGCAGUUCUCCUUCCGUUACAAGAAGGGCGUCGACAACAGUGCUGCCGUUGCGCUGUCCCGCGUCGGUCAUCUCCUGGAGCUCGACGCACUGUCCAUGUGCCAACCACAAUGGCUACAAGAAGUUGCCAAUUCCUACGAGACCGACCUCGACUCUCAAGAGCUGCUCACCAAGCUGGCUGUCAUCAACACUGACGAUCAAGGGUGCACCCUGCAGCAAGGCGUAAUCCGGCAACGCGGUCGACUCUGGAUCGGCGCCAACUCAGCUCUUAAGACCAAACUCAUCACUGCUCUCCACCAU